AUGUGCGAUCAUACUAGCACUAAUGCACCGGAUCCCAUCAGAACUCUGUAGUUAAGCGUGCUUGGACGAGAAUAGUACUAGGAUGGGUGACCUCCUAGGUGUAGAGGAGGAUGAUA
Lupinus angustifolius (narrow-leaved blue lupine) is the source of this 116-nucleotide non-coding RNA. NCBI's taxonomy places the organism in Eukaryota, Viridiplantae, Streptophyta, Magnoliopsida, Fabales, Fabaceae. The record is from Rfam.